Trifolium pratense (red clover) is the source of this 676-nucleotide long non-coding RNA. RefSeq lists it as uncharacterized. Lineage: Eukaryota; Viridiplantae; Streptophyta; Magnoliopsida; Fabales; Fabaceae. The transcript has 3 exons. The record is from RefSeq and is a predicted model, not a curated record.
CAGACACAACAUGGUUUUAAUGAGAAGAUUGGUUAGGGUUGCGAAAAUUUGGAUAGUUACUGGUUAUCUCAUAGCUGAGCAGAUUACCUCUGUUGAAGUGGCAAGGAGCUGCUGUUUGGUUAACCCGGUCGAAUUAGUUUUCUUCACAAUACUUUGGUAGCAUCCCAAAAUCCUUGCUCGGCUAUGUGGUGUUGCAGUUUCAUCUACUGCAUUAUCCACUUCCUUUGGUGGCAAGGAACGGGAUCCCAAGGUGUUGGCUUUAGAAUUCCUAAUCUCGGAUUGGAUGGAUUUUCAUUGAGGGAAGCUGUACUGAUGGUCAUCUCUGCGAAAUGCGAUUUUAUGGUCGUCUCUGAGGGAAGCUGUACUGAGGUGUUGGCGUUAAAAAUCCGCAUUUUGAAUACGGUUAUGGAAUUCAAUUUUAAGUUUAAUCCACCCGUGCGACGGGUCACACCCUAGUUAUGUUAAAUAUAUAUACUACUAACAUUGAAAUAUUAGUGGGGGCACUUGCCCACAUACUAGCAGGAAUACAUCCGUCCAUCCAUGGCUACAGGUUUGUAGGGAAACUCCAUUUCAUAAAAGACAACAUUCCUUUAUACACUGAGACUUCUAGAGUGUAAGUCUAAGAUGACAUAACCUUUCAUGCCUUGUUUGUAACCAAAAAACAUACCAUCGUUAG